CAGAUUUCGUUUAACAUGCUAAUCGAUGAAUUCGAGCUAAAACAUGAUAUACAAAUGCUGAAAAUAUACAUGUCGAUUGCGCAUACACUUAGUAGGAGAAUCCGAUGAUUAACCUACCUCUAGUGCUUAAUCCACGACAGCAAGUGUCACGCCCCGGGGUCCCUUUUUGUUUGAAACACAGCGAAAAAGCGUAAAAUUUUUUUUUUAAAACCUGACCCCAGGGUAUGCCAGAUCUGCCACAAAUACAGAAAAUUCACUAUUCACACGGACAGAAUCUUCCCUGUAUUUGCACGGCGUCGCACAAGUACAACGAGUAAACCGGAUACAACCACAACUAAAUGAAUAUAGAGAUAACUAUACAUUCAUACAUUCACCAUUCACAUCCCAGAUUUACUUUCAAUGUCGAAACAUAAAUACACAGAAAACCCUUUUGAAAAUUGUUCCCUACACGAAAACUUUUAUCUUUUAAAAACGCUACCACGAGGGGUAGAAAACCUUUUAUUUACGAAAACCAUAAAUCCUUUUCAUUUCACAAAAUCCACAAAUCCAUUUAUUACAUUCAUGAAAAUCCACAUUUUCAAAUGUAAUAAAACUACUGAACCAUAUAAACUAUCUAAGCUAUAUCAACA
RNAcentral lists this long non-coding RNA (629 nucleotides) under Ananas comosus (pineapple). RNAcentral's name for it is "long non-coding RNA (ACOM_LNC016823)". The record is from RNAcentral. Lineage: Eukaryota; Viridiplantae; Streptophyta; Magnoliopsida; Poales; Bromeliaceae.